UUUGAUAUGGACACAUUCAAAAUGGAGAAAAAAGCCAAGGUUAUCAAGAAUAAAAACAGACAUAACCAUUACUCAUACAAGCAAGAAGUCUUGAAGAUAGAUUUUACAAAUCUAUCAUAAUUCAUUAAAAAAAAAAUAGUAGUAAACUAUAGACACAGAAGAAUUCAAUUUGCAAUUUUAAUAGAUUGAGUGAAUAAUAAUAAUAUAAGCUCACAGCAGGAACAAGUUGUUAUAUUAUAAUGAAAAAGAAGAAAACUGAGAAAGGACUUAACUUUAGGCAACAUUAUUUUAAGGGAAAAAAAAAACUACUUAAUUGGUGCCCACGCCAUACCCAAAACGUCAAUCAGGUUUUUAAAGGAACAAACUCAUAGAGGAUACCAACUUGAUCUUUUUUCAAAUGAUCAAAAUUGUUGACAUUAAUCUUGGAGUUAAGUAGAGGAAUGUGAUGGCUCCUUAAGUACAAUUGACUAAAUGAUAGUGUUGAUUGUAUCAAAUCAAAUAUUCAAAUAUGUGUGCCAAAAGGAUACUUCAACAGAUGGAGUACAAGAUGUUUGCUGAUGAUUGUGUUACAUGAAAUCUUAGUUUUUGUCAAAUUAAUAAACUUAUAUUUAAGUCUAAGAUGAUCACAUCUAAGAUUAAACACAUGUCAUAAACAUACAAAAAGUAAACAUAACAUGAAACCAUGUUCAUGGAUUUUCACAUUAUCCAACAAAUAAAUAGAAUUAGCUCAUAGACAGCUUAGAAACAACUAAGUACCGAAAAACAAGAUUGCACAUUCUUUAACAUAAAAAUGAGAAACAUAAAAAGAAAAAUAAAAAAACACAACAAUCCCCUUCAAUCUUCAAGUUGCAACCUCUGAUUCAUCUUAUGUAACUCGCUAGCCCUUAAUUAGGGUUUCUUUUCCUUUUAUAGUACAAUGGUAUCAUAUGCAUGACAACUUUCUCCUUUCCUUACACCUUUUUGAUUGGAAUUUAGUUAAUUUAUAUUAGCAUUUUUAGAUAUAGAAAAUAAUAAUAGAGUAAAAAGGUUAUUAGAAAAACAUAUCUGCUAGUCAUAAGUGAGCAUGGCAUUCACAUUGAAGUAGUUGAAUGACAAGUUGAUAUGGAUUUUAAAGUCUUUAUCAUGUUGGGUGCAUUUAAGCCUUUUAUUUAUUAGGACAUGUAAGACUUCUCUUUUCUUUUCGAAUAUGAAAGUAUCUAUGACUGAUAAACUUCAAAAAUUAUGCAUAACACAGUAAUGAAGAAGAAAUAUAAAAGUUAGCUGUCCAGAGUUAGCAACACUAUCUAAUGUUUAAAUGCAAUUUUCUUCUGCUACAUUGGUGUAGAGUGAAAAUCAUGAAAUGUUAUUUGAUGUUAACCACUUUGCUUGAUUUUAAAGCAUAAUAUGUAAUUUUUUUUGUUGUUCCAAGAUGUAUACAUCAAUCGAUUUUUUAAAUAGUUAAUAAUAAAGAGUGUGACUGUGUUCUAGAGUGUGGUUAAAAAAGCUUGUGAUUUUCUUUCUCAAUUAAGUUCAAAGGUUCUGUUUGUAGUUAUUAUAUCUAAAGUACAUACUAGUUUUAAAUUUAAGAGUCAGAUUUUUUUAAAAGAUUUUUCAUUUAAGUUUGUGGCGUUCCUUUAGUAAGUGUUAUGUAAAGGUCCACUCUACAUAACAUGUUCCUUUAGUAAGUGUUAUGUAAAGGUCCACUCUACAUAACAUAUAAUUCCUCUGUCCCAAACUAAAUUACCUACUUGCAAAAUAAAAAAGGAUCUCAAAAUAAUUAAUCUUACAUUUUUUAAAACAUAAUUAAAUAAUUAAUACUACUUACAUUAUUUUUAAAUUUUACUAAAUGUUAUUUUGAUGAGUUUAGAUCUUAGAGAAGACUAUUUAUACCCACAAGAGUGGCAAAUUAAAGAUGGAGAAACUCUUCCAUCAAAAUAAUAUUUAGCAAAAUUUAAUUGAUUAGAGUUAUAUUAGAUUCAACAUGUUAUACAUUUGCCGUUGAAGUUGAAAUAACAUUUACCGUUGAAACAACAUUUGCUGUUGAAAAAAGACCUACAACGUAAAAUAUAGAAUUCACGUUUGUCAACUUUUAGUUCUAAAUUCGAAUAGGCCCCGUGAAGCAAGAAAUAAGUUUAAAGAAAACCAAGCGUUCUUGUUGGCUAGAAGUGGUUGGAUAGGUUUUGGUCAAGAAAAGAAUACAAAGGUCAACCCACUAUUUUACAAUUGAUUCCAAAUACUACAACAACGGUCAACCCACUAUUUUACCCUUCUAAAAUUCACUCGAUUUAUAAGCACAAAUCACAACCAAGUCACUAAUGAUAAGUGCUAGAGAACAUAUGAGAAAAGUACUGUGCAUUUCUGAGCCCUUGGAUCACUUUUCUUAUACUACACACAACUAAGAACAAAUUAA
Molecule: long non-coding RNA, 2389 nt
Organism: Vicia villosa (hairy vetch)
Lineage: Eukaryota; Viridiplantae; Streptophyta; Magnoliopsida; Fabales; Fabaceae
Exons: 2
Source: RefSeq, a predicted model, not a curated record